Molecule: non-coding RNA, 45 nt
Filed under: Schistosoma haematobium
Lineage: Eukaryota; Metazoa; Platyhelminthes; Trematoda; Strigeidida; Schistosomatidae
Source: RNAcentral
AUCCAACUGAUCAGUCCCAAAUAGAACGAAACUUAUGUCUUGGAU